This is a non-coding RNA of Camellia sinensis, 3308 nucleotides long. Lineage: Eukaryota; Viridiplantae; Streptophyta; Magnoliopsida; Ericales; Theaceae. The record is from RefSeq and is a predicted model, not a curated record.
AUUGUUGCCCGCACUUCCUCUGUUAGACGAAAUGAUAUUCAAACUCUCUCCCGCCUAGACUAUCUCACCACCAAACCUCACACGAAAUCACUUCACCGCAGCCCACUGUACAGAGGACAUCGGCACGGCCACUCACAGUCGGAAAUCACCACUGCCACAGUCGCAGAUCACAUGUUCUCUCUCUCGCUCUCUCUCGCUCUCGGUCUGUCAGUACUUGGUGAAAUUUGUGGAAGAAAUUGUGAGGCUCGAACAUGCUUCAUUUCCAAAUAAGCCAAUUUAUCUGGUGGGCGAUUCCUUUGGGAGAUGCCUAGCACUUGCUGUCGUAGCUUGUAAUCCAACCAUUAACCUGGUAGUAAUAUUAGCCAAUCCAGCAAGUUCAUUUGGCAGGUCACAGCUCCUACCUUUGUUCCCUCUCCUGGAGGCUAUGCCCAAUGAAUCACAGUGCCUUACCUUCUUAGCUUUGUUAUGGGUAUAUGCUCUGUUGCUUUAAAAUUUUUUAUUUGUAUUCCUAAUAUUUUUGUGACUUGAAUUUGAAGAAAUUCAAAUUUGUCUACUACUGGUAAUUGUGGCAUCCUUGUUAAAUUGCCUAUGUGGAUUUGAUAAAACAAUCGAGCACUGUGAUCAUAUGUGCCCAAACUGUCUACUUGACUGAUUUCUUUCACAUCAUCUAUUCAUAAUAGUCUUUCACUUUUGCUCAUCAACAUGACCUUUAAUGGUUCAUUGAAUAAAUUUUAAAGCAUGAGCUUCGUUCAGAUAUGUGGUUAUAUGCGUAAAUCAGUAACCAAUUAUAUCUAUGAGAACGUUACUGAUUUGCUCCAGUCAUGGAAAAAUCAACAGUUGGCCUCAAGAAGAACAACUCUGGCCAAAUUUGACGGCAAGUUUUAGAAGGAUGGGCUCAAUGCGAAGCUGCCAAACCAGACCUAAGCUAUCUGAAAAUGUCUGGAAAGCACUUGUAGGUUGGGAGUUAGAGCUAAAAACACUUCAAACUUAACCGAAAAAGGACGCUAAGGGGGCGAAACUAUGAAACAGCCCCCGAACCACUAUGUGGCUAUCACGAACAGCUUCCCCAUCACAAAUAGGACCUGUGACAAUAGACGGAAUGUAAUUGGCACUUGUAGGUUGGGAGUUAGAGCCAAAAACACCUCAAACUUAACCGAAAAAGGGCAUUAAGGGGGCAAAACUACGAAACAGCCCCCGAACCACUGUAUGGCUAUCACGAAUAGUUUCCCUAUCACCAAUAGGACCUGUGACAAUAGACGAAAUGUAAUUUGCACUUCUAGGUUGGGAGCUAGAGGCCAAAACGCCUCAAACUUAACUGAAAAAAGGCGUUAAGGGGGCGAAAGUAUGAAACAGCCCCCGAACCACCAUGUGGCUCUCACAAACAGCUUUCCCAUCACAAAUUAGACCUGUGACAACAGACGGAAUGCAAUUUGCAUUUGUAGGUUGGGAGUUAGAGCAAAAAACGCCUCAAAUUUAACUGAAAAAGGGCGUUAAGAGAGCGAAACUAUGAAACGGCCCCCGAACCACCAUGUGACUGUCACAAACAGCUUCCCCAUCACAAAUAGGACCUGUGACAAUAGACGGAAUGUAAUUUUCACUUGUAGGUUGGGAGUUAGAGCCCAAAACACCUCAAACUUAACCAAAAAAGGGGUUUAAGGGGGCGAAACUACGAAAUAGCCCCCAAACCACCAUGUGGCUAUCACGAACAGCUUUCCCCUCACAAAUCGGACCUGUGACAAGAGACAGAAUGUAAUUUUCAUUUGUAGGUUGGGAGUUAGAGCCAAAAAUGCCUCAAACUUAAUCGAAAAAGGGCGUUAAGGGAGCGAAACUAUGAAACUGCCCCCGAACCACCAUGUGGCUAUCACAAAUAGCUUCCCUAUCACAAAUAGGACCUGUGACAAUAGACGAAAUGUAAUUUGCACUUGUAGGUUGGGAGUUAGAGCCCAAAACACCUUAAACUUAACCGAAAAAAGGGCGUUAAGGGGGCGAAACUACGAAACAGCCUCCGAACCACCGUAUGGCUAUCACAAAUAGCUUUCCCAUCACAAAUCGGACCUAUGACAAUAGACAAAAUGUAAUUUGAAUUUGUAGGUUGGGAGUUAGAGUCAAAAACGCCUCAAACUUAACUGAAAAAGGGCGUUAAGUGAGCAAAACUAUGAAACUGCCCCCAAACCACUGUGUGGUUGUCACGAACAGUUUCUCCAUCACAAAUAGGACUUGUAGCAAUAGACGGAAUGUAAUUUGAACUUGUAAGUUGGGAGUUAGAACCAAAAACACCUCAGACUUAACUAAAAAAGGGUGUUAAAGGGGCAAAACUAUGAAACAGCCACCGAACCACUGUGUUGCUGUCACGAACAACUUCUCCAUCACAAAUAAGGCCUGUGACAAUAGACGGAAUGUAAUUUGCACUUGUAGGUUGGGAGUAAGAGCCAAAAACGCCUCAAACUGAAAAAGCUGUAUCGACAUCUAUAACAUAUAAAAACAAUAUAUCAAGUUUUGAGACUACAUUUUUUCUUUAAAAAGUUGUAUUGACAUCUAUAUAUUUUCUACAUCAUUUGAUUUGGCUCCCAUUGAUUAUUGGAUAUGACUAGCAUUAUAUGCGCUGCUUUGGUACUUUCCCUUGUUCAUUUUCAGGAUCUUACAAAUAUGUCUUCAUCCAAUGCCUUCAAGUUCCCCAUUAUUAAGUGUAAAAUUUUAAAAAUUUUAAACUUCUCUAGUUGAAAUAGUGACCUGCUAAAUAUAGAUGUUAACCAUCACACUAUAUUUGCAAAAGGAAUCACAAGACAAAAUAAAGCUUUGUUAACAUCAUCAAGACGGCUCCUUUAGUACCAUUUUCAUGGGGAUAGGUAGAAUUUGGGAAACUGAUUAGUUGCAACAUUAAAUUAUUUUUCCAUUAGAGCAACUUUACUAUUUUCAUUCUCAGAGUUUGUAUAAUGAUAUUUUUCUCUCUAUCCAAGCAAAGAGGAGUUGUGUCAAGUUGGAUAUUUACAGAAAGUUCUCAAAUGCAUUAGCAGGAACAAUGAUUGCUUCCGUUGCUUGGAUAGGAUAUGAGAUGACUUUGUUGCGUGGACUUUCAGAGUAAUAUUUUGGUGUAUGGUGAAGAAAUUUCACUUUUGUAUAGAACUAAUAUAAUACUUUUGUCGUCAUCGGCUUUUGUGCAGUUCACUAUGACUGAUACAGAAAACUUUUGGCAGCCAACAGAUAAUUACUGGCAUGGUAGAUAGAUCACAUUUUGUCACCGUACAUAUAUAUGAUUUUUUGCCGUGGUACAUAGACGUACUUUUGUCUUCAUACAAACAUCACCUUUU